This 29-nucleotide small RNA is filed under the name Bombyx mori (domestic silkworm). Its description in RNAcentral is "piRNA piR-bmo-1276365". Lineage: Eukaryota; Metazoa; Arthropoda; Insecta; Lepidoptera; Bombycidae. The record is from RNAcentral.
UACCUGCCUAUGAAUUAACUUCCCACAUU